Molecule: long non-coding RNA, 219 nt
Filed under: Linum usitatissimum (flax)
Lineage: Eukaryota; Viridiplantae; Streptophyta; Magnoliopsida; Malpighiales; Linaceae
Description: long non-coding RNA (LUSI_LNC000216)
Source: RNAcentral
CCGGUGGUGGUGUUCCGCCACAGACCGCUCAACAAAAUUUCCCAACUGAUUCAUUCGGACUACCUGAUGGUGGUGUGCCGCCACAAGUCUCUACUCAGGCAUCGUCCAUGAUGCCACAAGUCCCAGGCCAGGCUGCUUUCCCGCCUCAACCUAACAUUGUUCAGCCUUCUCAGGCUCCAAUGUCUUCACAGCCUCUCGAUCUGAGUGUCCUCGGAGUCG